CCGGGUUUGAUAGUCCGGUUUACGCGUAGCAGAACACUUUUGCUUCUGCUUUUAUGACGUUUUCUGACCAUUCAGCAGAGGCUGCUGUGCUUGUUUCCAUCUCUUCCUCUCUCUCUGCAAUUUCGUUUGGUGAAAGAUUGCCCACAGAUCAUUCUCUCUCUCUCUCUGGUUUGGGUUGUGAUUUAAAGGGGGGGUGGAAGCUAAAGAUAAAUUGCCAGGUGGGUUCAUUAGUUUGGUUCAUUCACUAGGGAUCCAAAUGUCUGAGUGUUUCGUCUGCCUUUUUUACCUCUGAAUUAUACAAGAAGAAACAGAUGGUUCUGGAGGAUUGAAUGUUAAAUUUCAUUCUAAAGUUGGAUUUUUUUUUUUAGGAAAAGGAAAAAAGCAGUAGCGAAGCUUCCAUUAAAUCUUGACGUUUUGAUAAUAAUUUGUUUUGAGAAAUAGGCUGUUCUUUGUCUGCAGAGGUUUACGUGUGUGGUAGCACUUUUUUUUUCCCCCGUUUUUGGGAGUAAUUAAGUGAAAUUUGAGUUUAAGCUCUUUUUUCUUGGGCAGCAGAGGAGGGAGAACAUCAUCUCAUGUUUUGCUUUUCUCUGCAGUAGGUAAGAUUUUGUUUUCUUGCUUUUUUGAAUUUAAUUUAUAUUAUUAAUCAUUUUUUUAUGAGUUGAAUGUCUGUUUCUACCUUUUGGGGUACUUUUCUUGAUGAGGUUUUAUGUGAAAAGUUAACAAAACGAAGAAAUUAAAUUAUCUUGUAGCUGAUUAUCAUUGAUUUGGAUGAACUUUGAUGUGAUUUUUCAUUUGAAGAAAAGAACAAAACGAAACAGUGAUGAAAACUUGAGGGGUAAAUGAAAUGGCAUGUCCUCUGCAUAUUGCCUUAACAUAAUUCAUUUUUCUAGGUUUUUUUUUUUUUUUUUUUUUUUUUUUUUUUUUUUUUUUUUUAAAUUUUUUU
This 943-nucleotide long non-coding RNA is filed under the name Olea europaea (common olive). RNAcentral's name for it is "long non-coding RNA (OEUR_LNC006998)". Lineage: Eukaryota; Viridiplantae; Streptophyta; Magnoliopsida; Lamiales; Oleaceae. The record is from RNAcentral.